This 18-nucleotide microRNA is filed under the name Corchorus olitorius. RNAcentral's name for it is "cin-miR-4188-". The record is from RNAcentral. Lineage: Eukaryota; Viridiplantae; Streptophyta; Magnoliopsida; Malvales; Malvaceae.
UUAAAUGCAAUUUUCAUA